AUUGAACGCUGGCGGCAGGCCUAACACAUGCAAGUCGAGCGGGGUUUUCGGACCUAGCGGCGGACGGGUGAGUAAUGCGUAGGAAGCUGCCCGAUAGGAGGGGGAUACCAGUUGGAAACGACUGUUGAUACCGCAUAAUGUCUACGGACCAAGUGUGGACCUUCGGGCCACAUGCUAUCGGAUGCCGCCUACGGUGGGAU
RNAcentral lists this ribosomal RNA (200 nucleotides) under uncultured bacterium. RNAcentral's name for it is "partial 16S ribosomal RNA". It matches the Rfam family "Bacterial small subunit ribosomal RNA", at positions 30 to 242 of the family's 1533-position model. The record is from RNAcentral.